Molecule: ribosomal RNA, 421 nt
Filed under: uncultured bacterium
Lineage: Bacteria
Description: partial 16S ribosomal RNA
Rfam family: Bacterial small subunit ribosomal RNA
Source: RNAcentral
CCUACGGGUGGCAGCAGUGAGGAAUAUUGGUCAAUGGGCGAGAGCCUGAACCAGCCAAGUCGCGUGAAGGAUGACGGCCCUACGGGUUGUAAACUUCUUUUGUCAGGGAGCAAGUGGGUCCACGCGUGGGCUUAGCGAGAGAACCUGAAGAAAAAGCAGCGGCUAACUCCGUGCCAGCAGCCGCGGUAAUACGGAGGAUCCGAGCGUUAUCCGGAUUUAUUGGGUUUAAAGGGAGCGUAGAUGGGUUGUUAAGUCAGUUGUGAACGUUUGCGGCUCAACCGUAAAAUGGCAAUUGAUACUGGCAGUCUUGAGUACAGUUGAGGUAGGCGGAAUUCGUGGUGUAGCGGUGAAAUGCUUCGCUAUCACGCAGAACCCCGAUUGCGCAGGCAGCUUACUAAACUGUGCCUGACAUUGCUGCUCG